UACUACAGCUUCUGGUCGUACUUAGUAUCAUACGGCUGCGGGCUACAAUCUUUUGCAACCGCCUCAACCACUCCCUAUAGUUUUGGGCUUCAAUGUAAUUUCCCCUCUUAACCCUACCACUCUCAUAAGUCACACACCAAUCAAAAAGUCAAACUUGUCCCUAAAACACUUUCACAUUCUCCAACGCCCAGUCAAAAGCACCAUCCAACAAAAUGGCUCCAAGAAAGGGUAAAAAUGGAAACAUAAUAUUAAGGCGGGAAAAAUCAUCAGGAAAAAGUCGCCGGGAAUCAAACUCGGAAAUUCUUUCCGGUGAAAGUCUGACCGAACUGCCAGUUAGCUGGGACGAUGUUCCACGAAGUGGAGGAGCGUCGGUCACUGCCUGUGACCCUGAAGGAGAGUGACUGACCAACCAGAACCGAGUUCGACUGCCAGUUCUGUCCCCAGUUACGGCUCAGGCUCAUCCAGCCAGUCCUGGACCCUUUCACGCUCACCCUCACGAUAUCCCCUGCACCCGCGACGUUGGAGACCAAAACCAAGUUGAAGUAACGGAAGCCGUUGAUGGUGAACCUGAUCCCUCCGCGCUUCCGGCAUGGCACCCUGAGGAAAUAAGACAAAACGAGUGAGGAUAAGACGGUAAUUAUCAGUGCAGUUAGUAUAACGUGGAUCGCGGACCGUGUUUCUAGGUGGGCGUGACUAAAUCUAAAGCCCUUUUCACAUUGAUCAACGAGUCUCCGACUUUAGGAGACUGUGCUACCUAUCGUACUUUGUGCCGUCAGAUUCUCUGGUCAAGGGUGCGUACGGUUCAGAUCAUCCGAGAAGUCUAAGCACCAGUCAAGGAGAAAAGCCAGGAUUGGUUGCUAAUGUAAGUUAGUGGACUAUAAGUCAAAUUUUUCUUUUUUCGAUUAUAGGUCAAAUUUUAAAAAAAAAUUAGAGAUAAUAAAAGAUUAUAUACUGAACAUCAAACAUUCCCCUACAAAUGAUACAGUCUAUAGUUCUUUUUAACUUUAAACAAGUGACCCGACUUUGCGAAACUGUGAUUUGUAGCUUUAAUGGUUAAAAAUGUUUAUUCUAAAUUGUGUAACGUCUAAAGUCACUGUAAUGAAAACGCUCAUAGUUACUGUGUUGGCUAAAAGGUCCAAAAUUAGGGCAAAUGCUGACGUACGGCAACUUAGACACUUCCAUGAAAAGUAUAAACAACUUAUGAAAAAUCUAGAUUUAAAUUAUUUGAUAAUUUGAUUUCAACUGUUUUGGGACCAGAUAGGUUUAAUGCCAAAUAACCGAAAGUGACCAAUAAACUUCCAAAAGGAGUCGAAAUUAACUAAUGGUAAUGACCUAAAGCAAAUUAGGUCAGUUAACAGUGAUGAAGGUAUAAGUAAUAAGAUUUAAGAAAAAACUUAGACCCAUCUGGGCCAUUAUCGUGUGUCAAUAACUAACCAAACACAGAACCCAUUACAUUUUCAGAACGAAUAAUGACCCACAAGAUAAAGAAAGAUCACACAAAAAGCUUCACAAGAUGGUCCGAUUCUCAAUCUUGCAACGCAUUUCUGAUUAAAGAGUUUCAAUACUGUCGAGCACUAUAAACUUAUUGACAUUUGAGGAAAAAACGAAUUUGAAUACGUUUUGGUAAAUCUAGCUUUUACGACAGCAUUUUACGUAGCAAAACAUUUACUAGUACUAGUUCACUCUAAGACCGAGAUUUGAGUUCCAAAGUGGCAAAACAGAGUGAAAACGGAGCAUUCUGUAAAAACAAAGAUCUUAACGCUUCCGCAUUUUCCACUAGGUAAAAUGGGAAUGAGAAAGAAACUUACUUUAAAGCAGCCCAUAACUAUUUACCCAAAAAGAAAAAGUGUUUCAACUACCUAAAGCCAAAUCAGAGCAAACAAAGAAAACCAAAAACAUAGCACUAAACAGAGUAAAAAGUUAAAAAGCAGAGAAACGAGCUUUACUAACCUACGAUAGGAAACAGGGACAAUCCCGGCACGGUACUCAGCGAUCUUAAGAAACAUGGGCAUGGCAAGGUCAAAGUGAGGCCUAGGAGGGUUGCACCAUCCGCCAUUGUCGCUAGGCUGAGCAAAGUUGGGUGGGCAAAAGUUAGUUGCAGUGAUGAAAAUCGAAGGACUUCCAGAGUGGCACCAGUUCGGGUCGUUUGCGCACUUGAUUUCAAAGCAGGCACCGCAGCUGAGGCCAUUGUUGAACAGCGCCGUGCUAAGAGCA
This 2214-nucleotide long non-coding RNA is filed under the name Fragaria vesca (wild strawberry). RNAcentral describes it as "long non-coding RNA (FVES_LNC002599)". Lineage: Eukaryota; Viridiplantae; Streptophyta; Magnoliopsida; Rosales; Rosaceae. The record is from RNAcentral.